ACGAUAAAGCACAGGGCUUAAGGUCAAAUCAGAUGUGCUGUGUGAAAGCGUGUCAGCAUGAGUGCUUAAGGCAGAAGGAACUGUCUUUAGGCAGUGCCAGCCAGGACCUCGGGCAGGUGAGUGACGUAGUAGGUAAUGUUCUUGCCGAAGGGGUCUGACAGGUGCUUCGUGAGGCCCUCAAUCGGCUGCGUGCGGGUCACCAGGGCCUGCACGGCGAAGCCAACGAAGGCAACCUGCACGGCGCAAUGGCAAUGAAAACACAAACCUCGAUUGGCAUCAUUCAAAACUGCAACAUGUCAAGCAAACAUCAGAAACGAAGCGCCGUCCGCUUUCCGUUACAUCAGUACUAACAUGCGCUAUAGCUCAAAUCUUACCAUAGCAAGGCGGCCGUUCUUGACCUCCUUGGUGGCCAUCGACGCAGAGUUCAGGCCAGCCGGGUCGAAGGGGAACGAGUUGAUGAAGCCCGACUACGAAUUUGAUAGAAGGCAACGGGCAGGCAGCAGAUGGAGAGGACAAAGUCAGCGAGGGGCAGCAGGAUCUGUGCUAAGGACUAGGCAAGGAGUUUAACAAUAUGCAGAAAGUCGGCACUGCUUCCCAAACAGAUGUUUGCAGGACUUGCGGCGCGAUGGCAGCCUUCCGAGACACCAUAGCAACAAUCGCACAGGCGCUCGUAUGCUACAACGCGUCCAUAGCCCCAAG
RNAcentral lists this long non-coding RNA (699 nucleotides) under Volvox carteri. RNAcentral describes it as "long non-coding RNA (VCAR_LNC001115)". Lineage: Eukaryota; Viridiplantae; Chlorophyta; Chlorophyceae; Chlamydomonadales; Volvocaceae. The record is from RNAcentral.